UUAUCAGAGAAGAAGCCAGAGUCUUUUUGUUUUUUUCUUUAUAAGACUACACAAACAGCCAUGUCAGCGUUAAUGUGUCAGCAACAAUUUAAAUGCAAGCAUGUGUUAAUGCUGAGCUGAUUGAAUAAAUUAAUCUGGCAGCUAAUAUGGAGGAUUGUACAUGCAAACUCAAAAACUUCUCCAAACUGAAAAAAACAGAAGGUGAUCAGACGUUUACAACAACGUUUUUGUGGACAAGGAUAGAUGCAUAUACUUCACAUUUCAAUCAAAGGACUAGAACCUGCUGGUACAAAUGGGUCCCAUCUUUUCUCAUGACCAAGGACCUUGGCACGUUUCGUCCGACAUUACCCAGUUCUGAUGCCUCCUGGAACCUAUGAGCGUCGUCGAGUGUGUUUUGCGUUGGCCCGAAGCCGCAAACACACACACGCAGGUUGCGGGGGGUGCUGGAGCCUAUCUCAGCUGCAAUCCGGCGGAAGGCGGAGUACACCCUGGACAAGUCGCCACUUCAUCACAGGGCCAACACAGAUUUGGUUCUGUACCGUAUUGGUUCUGGAUGACCCAGUGUGAACUCCAGAGGACUACUGUGUGUCUCCAUGUUCCAAGCAGAGCCAAGGAAACCAACGAACAUCUGCAGAGCAUAUUCUUAAAAAAGACCCAGUUAGACCACAGACUGACUGCCCUAUGCUAACAGAAAUCAGGAAAACGUGCUACUUAUACAGUUCUGGCAAAAGUCAUGCAAGUUGCGCAAACACCUAUUCAAAUUCCUUUAAAUGCAAAACAUGUUCACUUUGUAUUAUGAUGCCAUGAAAUUCAAAUUCCUUUAAAUGCAAAACAUGUUCACUUUGUAUUAUGAUGCCAUGAAUUUAAUACUUAGUGUUUUGAGUCAAAUUGACAACUUAAUCUUGACAUGCUAGAGUUGAACCAUCUUCACACCUUAAUUGUUUUUAUUUUAUUUUAUUUUAACAAUUAUUUUGGUUUCAACUUAUUGUUGAAUAUUUACAAUUAGACAUUAACAACUCAAACAGUUCAUGCAGAGAAGACUACGUAUGUGAACUCUGAUCCGGAUUCUGUAAAUGUAUCACUAGAAAUGAGAACUUGCGCCCAACAGGUUGGCCGCAAAUUUCUCGGCUGAAUGUUUCCCUUUCACUAGUGUGUUUGAGAACAUUUUCAUUUCAUUGGUGUUUGUGUGUGAGCAUUUUACUAGUGUGUGUGUAAGCAUGCCACUCAUGUCUCUGUGCAAGCAUUUCACUAGUUUGUGUACAUAAUAAUUGUUAUAGAGUGUGUGUCACCAUUUCACGAGUGUUUGUAUUUAAGUGUUUCACUAGUGUGUUUGUUAGCAUUCCACUCGUGUUUGAGAUUUUCACUAGUGUGUGUGAGAGCAUUUUCAUGUCAGUAGUGUUUGUGUGAGCAUUUCACUAGUGUCUCUGUGCAAACAUGUCACCAGUGUGUGUGUGAGCUAGGGUUGUCCCGAUACCAAUAUUGUGUUACCGGUACUAGGACCAAAAUGUAUUUCAGUACGUUUAAAAAAUAAAGGGGACCACAAAAACAUUUCAUUAUUGGCUUUGUUUUAACAUCUUAUGAUAUAUUAAACAUGUUUCGUAUUGUAAUCAAAGAAGAAUUCCGGCAUUGAAUGAGAUAGUAAACAUACUAGACAACUUCUCUUUUAGUAAUAAGUAGCAAACAAAGACUCUUAAUUGGCUGCUGAUGUAUGCAGUAACAUAUUGUAUAAUUUUCGGUUGUAUUAUUUUGGCAAAAUUAUGAGGGACAAGCGGUAUAAAAUUAAUUAUUGAUGUACUUGUUAAUUUUUUCUCUUUAUGUCUGCUUAAUUUCUGUUUUAACAUGUUCUAUCUACACUUCUGUUAAAAUGUAAUAACCACUUAUUCUUCUGUUGUUUGGAUGCUUUACAUAAGUUCUGGGUGAUUUUACAAAUGUUGGUAA
Non-coding RNA from Nerophis lumbriciformis (worm pipefish), 1938 nucleotides. The record is from RefSeq and is a predicted model, not a curated record. Lineage: Eukaryota; Metazoa; Chordata; Actinopteri; Syngnathiformes; Syngnathidae.